This 497-nucleotide ribosomal RNA is filed under the name uncultured bacterium. RNAcentral describes it as "partial 16S ribosomal RNA". It matches the Rfam family "Bacterial small subunit ribosomal RNA", at positions 28 to 507 of the family's 1533-position model. The record is from RNAcentral.
GAUGAACGCUGGCGGCGUGCCUAAUACAUGCAAGUCGAGCGAACAGACGAGGAGCUUGCUCCUCUGACGUUAGCGGCGGACGGGUGAGUAACACGUGGAUAACCUACCUAUAAGACUGGGAUAACUUCGGGAAACCGGAGCUAAUACCGGAUAAUAUAUUGAACCGCAUGGUUCAAUAGUGAAAGACGGUUUUGCUGUCACUUAUAGAUGGAUCCGCGCCGCAUUAGCUAGUUGGUAAGGUAACGGCUUACCAAGGCGACGAUGCGUAGCCGACCUGAGAGGGUGAUCGGCCACCCUGGAACUGAGACACGGUCCAGACUCCUACGGGAGGCAGCAGUAGGUAAUCUUCCGCAAUGGGCGAAAGCCUGACGGAGCAACGCCGCGUGAGUGAUGACGGUCUUCGGAUCGUAAAACUCUGUUAUUAGGGAAGAACAAAUGUGUAAGUAACUAUGCACGUCUUGACGGUACCUAAUCAGAAAGCCACGGCUAACUACGUG